GCCCUCGUCGUUCAACGGAUAGGAUGCAUCCUUGCGGAGGAUGUGAUGUAGGUUCGAUUCCUGCCGAGGGCACCA
This 75-nucleotide transfer RNA is filed under the name bacterium. Its description in RNAcentral is "tRNA-Arg". It matches the Rfam family "tRNA". Rfam says of the family: Transfer RNA (tRNA) molecules are approximately 80 nucleotides in length. Their secondary structure includes four short double-helical elements and three loops (D, anti-codon, and T loops). The record is from RNAcentral. RNAcentral also lists the same sequence under 1 other name.